Molecule: long non-coding RNA, 3219 nt
Filed under: Sus scrofa (pig)
Lineage: Eukaryota; Metazoa; Chordata; Mammalia; Artiodactyla; Suidae
Description: lncRNA (ENSSSCG00025053138.1)
Source: RNAcentral
GAACACAGUGAGUAGGGAAGAACUGCAGCUCCUGCUCACUGAAGGCAAAGCCUGGGAGAAAUUUGUGACUGAGGCUGAUUUGUCCAGGUAAUGGGCACUGCUGUACCAAGAAUGUCACCCAGAUCCCCCCACCCCAGAUUAGUUUUCUCCUGGCAGGCACACCUCCUCCAGGCAGUAUCCUAUGGUUGGGUUCAAGGAUGUUCCUUCUCAAGAUUCCAUAAGUAAUAUUUCCUCCAUCUCAUUUGCUGGCAGUGAACAGUCUCAGUUGAGCAGAGAUGAAACCUGCAAGGAAGCAGCAGGUUGUGUGACCUUGGAUAAGUUACGUAACUACUCCCUGCCUUAGUUUCUUCAUCUCUUCAGUCUUAUUGUGGGGAACUGAGAUUGUGCAGGCAAAGUGCUUAGUGUAAUUGCUGGCACAUGGUAGGUGCUCAAUUCAUGUUAGCUUUUAAAAAGUUUGUUGUGAAGAGACCGGGGACAAGGAUCUUGAUCUUGGAGGCAAGCAGGACUUCCUUUGGAACAAGUCAGAAAAUCCUGAUGUCAUCAGUUUGUGUUGCUGGGAUUCUGGCUAGAGCCCUUUUUUUCCCAGUCUUAGCAACUGUACAAACGCUGUCGGAUCCUGCUGGCCCAACAGGCAGAGAGGCUGGAGUGGAAUAGGAUCAGGCUGGGCUGGAUCCUGGCUUGACCCCGGCCCAGCUCUGGAACCUUGGUUAUGUCUCGAAUGUCAAAUUUGUCAUCUAUCCAAUGGGGAUGGCAAUUCAAUCUGAUGGAUGGUGGCAAUGGCCUUCGAGUGAACUGCAGGGUCAGAGGUGGGGAGCCACGUGCAAUCAUCUCAUCCAAAGGCCCAGGACACCUGGACCAGGGUCAGACCUGGGGGUCAGGAUGGAGCAGAGGGGUCUGAGGUGGAGGAGGAGUAGGAAGGUUUGGGCAACAGGGCCAGGGCUGGAGUGAGGCGAGUGGACCCCCGGACACCGAACUGCAGGGGCUGCUCACCUGGCAGAGAUCCCCUGAGUGGGAGAGGGGACAUUUCUUCCCUCCCUGACCUGGUCCCCUCCUGCCGGGCAUCCAGGGCCUUGGGUGACCGUGUCCUCCACACCCUGCCUGGGAGCUGGGGGUUCUCCCUGCCACCUGGGCCCCUCUUCUGUUCUACGCAGGGUAGCCCUGACCGGUGGGAAGGCAGUGUGGCCUGGGGACAACUCCAACAUUACAACGAGUGGCUGCCAGUUCUGUAUAAUUUGAGAGCUUCUGAGCAGACUCACGAGUUCCCACCAACGAGGAAACUCUUCCUCAGGCCGAGCAGUUCUUAGGGAUGAUUCCCAAAGUCUCUUGACUCUUUCAGAGGUUCCAUAAACUCGCCACGGCCUUGGUGUGCAGGCAGUCCUCGGGACUCUCCUUACCUUUGACACCAAUGGCAAAUGUGGGGGCUUCCCCAAACCCUCUCAGGUGCGAGAGCUCCCUAGAGGGAGGCGCAGAACUCACUGAAGCUGUGGUGACCCCCGUUAGGGUGUCUGCCAGGGCAGGAUGUGGGUGACCAUCAGCCACAGGGCAGAGGCUGGGAGGGUUUUGAACGGGCAGCUCCCGUUGUCCUCAGGACGCACAGCUGUCCUGUGUUCCAGGGGGACAGGGCCCACGGAGCCCUGCCCGGCAGGGAUGCUCCCCUUGUUUAAAAAACAAAUGCUUCCGACCCUUGUUAAAAUGAUAAGGAAGACGUUACUGAGGCCCAUCGUGAGAGGUGCAAAGACCAUCGCCGUGGGGGAGAGACUGGGCUCAAAGUCAAAUGCGUCAGAGACAACGGGGACUCAUCACCAAGGAGCAGGGGCUGCCGGGGUGGAUGGAAGGUUCCUGGGGGGAGACGUCAAGGGUAGGGACCCCUGUUAAACUUUCCCAGGAGGGCUCUUGCUAAAAGGAGGUCGAGGACCUAUGCCUCAAAGGUGAUCCGAUGUCAAGAGUGCCCGUGGGACGUUCUCCCUAGAGUGACCUGCAAGAGUUCUGGCUGAACGCGGGCGAUGGGGGCCAUCGAGGACACGGAUGUGAGGUCAAGGGUCGGUGAGAAGGGGGCUCAGAAGAGCCUGCCUCAAGUUUGGUCAAGGGGAGAGUCUUUUCCACCGGAGCCUCGGUGUCCGGAGUUUUGCUGGGGCUCCAUCACAUGCUGCCCGCACGGCUGACCUGCUGCCUCCAGCCCCUCCCGGGGCUCAGGCUACUGUCCCAGGGUCCAGCUCCUCCAGCAAUUAUUCCCCGUGACCCAGAGGCCCCAUCGCGCAUCGCCUUGUGGGGCUGCCCAGUGGCCAAGGGCCCAGGUGGACAAGAACACUCCUCUCAGCCAGAACAUUCCAGGGGCUCAGGGGUCACUACCAGUAGCCAAGGGCAGCGAGCAGGUUAACGCCUCACCGCCACCAAGUUCCUCUGACUGAGGGAUUUCUGCUCCAGUCCCACUGUUCUUUGUUCAUCUGUGGUCCCUCCUACACUCUUUUUGUUUUUGUUUUGUUUUCCUUUUUUUUUUUCCAAUGUAUUAUUGGCAUUUAUUGUUUCAACUUUUUUUUUUUUUUUUUUUUUGUCUUCUUGCAUUUUCUAGGGCCACUCCCGCGGCAUGUGGAGGUUCCCAGGCUAGGUGUCAAAUCGGAGUUGUUGUCGCUGGCCUACGCCACAGCCACAGCAGAUCCGAGCCAAGUCUGUAACCUACACCACAGCUCCUGGCAAGGCCAGAUCCUUUACCCACUGAGCAAGGCCAGGGAUGGAACCUGCAACCUCAUAGUUCCCAGUUGGAUUCGUUUCUGCUUUGCCAUGAUGGGAACUUCUUAUUGUUUCAGCUUAUUAUGAAGAUUCUCAUGCUUCUGAAUUAGUUAGUAUGACAAAUAUUUGGAAAUACAUUUUUUAUAUUGUGCUCUGAUCAUUUCCAAUUUUUGAAAUAUUUUUAAAAUUAAAAAAUUUUUCCUACUCACUCUUCGAAAUUGAUGGUGUUGACCUGCCUCUGAGGCAUCUUUAUCAAAUACCUAUCUUAAGCGUAUAAUCAGAUGGAGCUCCUGUUAUGGCUCAGCAGGUCAAGAACCUGACAUGUUGUUGACGAUGCGGAUUUGAUCCCUGGCCUCGCUCAGUGGGUUGAGGAUCCUGCUUUGCUGUGAGCUGAGGUGUCGGUCGCAGAUGUGACUUGGAUCCAGUAUUGCUGUGGCUGUGGUGUAGGCCUGGACCCCUAGCCUGGGAACUUCCAUAUGCCGCAGGUGUUAC